UACAGAGGGGGCAAGCGUUGUUCGGAAUUACUGGGCGUAAAGGGCGCGUAGGCGGCCUGCUAAGUCGAACGUGAAAUCCCCGAGCUCAACUCGGGAACUGCGUCCGAUACUGGCAGGCUUGAAUCCGGGAGAGGGAUGCGGAAUUCCAGGUGUAGCGGUGAAAUGCGUAGAUAUUGGGAGGAACACCGGUGGCGAAGGCGGCCCCCUGGACCGGUACUGACGCUGAGGCGCGAAAGCGUGGGUAGCAAACGGG
RNAcentral lists this ribosomal RNA (253 nucleotides) under uncultured bacterium. RNAcentral's name for it is "partial 16S ribosomal RNA". It matches the Rfam family "Bacterial small subunit ribosomal RNA", at positions 524 to 776 of the family's 1533-position model. The record is from RNAcentral.